RNAcentral lists this ribosomal RNA (301 nucleotides) under uncultured bacterium. Its description in RNAcentral is "partial 16S ribosomal RNA". It matches the Rfam family "Bacterial small subunit ribosomal RNA", at positions 509 to 809 of the family's 1533-position model. The record is from RNAcentral.
CAGUCGCCGCGGUAAUACGUAGGUGGCGAGCGUUGUCCGGAAUCAUUGGGCGUAAAGGGAGCGCAGGCGGGCAUGUAAGUCUUUCUUAAAAGUUCGGGGCUCAACCCCGUGAUGGGAAAGAAACUAUAUGUCUUGAGUACAGGAGAGGAAAGCGGAAUUCCCAGUGUAGCGGUGAAAUGCGUAGAUAUUGGGAGGAACACCAGUGGCGAAGGCGGCUUUCUGGACUGCAACUGACGCUGAGGCUCGAAAGCCAGGGGAGCGAACGGGAUUAGAUACCCGUGUAGUCCCUGUCUCUUAUACA